CAGAGGGGGCAAGCGUUGUUCGGAAUUACUGGGCGUAAAGGGCGCGUAGGUGGCCUGUUAAGUCGAACGUGAAAUCCCUGGGCUCAACCCAGGAACUGCGUCCGAUACUGGCAGGCUUGAAUUCGGGAGAGGGAUGCGGAAUUCCAGGUGUAGCGGUGAAAUGCGUAGAUAUCUGGAGGAACACCGGUGGCGAAGGCGGCAUCCUGGACCGAGAUUGACGCUGAGGCGCGAAAGCCAGGGGAGCAAACGGGAUUAGAUACCCCGGUAGUCCUGGCCCUAAACGAUGAAUGCUUGGUGUGGCGGGUAUCGAUCCCUGCCGUGCCGAAGCUAACGCAUUAAGCAUUCCGCCUGGGGAGUACGGUCGCAAGGCUG
Molecule: ribosomal RNA, 372 nt
Filed under: uncultured organism
Description: bacterial SSU rRNA
Rfam family: Bacterial small subunit ribosomal RNA
Source: RNAcentral